Molecule: ribosomal RNA, 514 nt
Filed under: uncultured bacterium
Lineage: Bacteria
Description: partial 16S ribosomal RNA
Rfam family: Bacterial small subunit ribosomal RNA
Source: RNAcentral
GACGAACGCUGGCGGCGUGCCUAAUACAUGCAAGUCGAGCGAACCUGAUAAAAGCUUGCUUUUUGAAGGUUAGCGGCGGACGGGUGAGUGACACGUGGGCAACCUGCCUGUAAGACUGGGAUAACUUCGGGAAACCGGAGCUAAUACCGGAUAAUAUAAAGAACCUCCUGGUUCUUUAUUGAAAGAUGGUUUCGGCUAUCACUUACAGAUGGGCCCGCGGCGCAUUAGCUAGUUGGUGAGGUGACGGCUCACCAAGGCGACGAUGCGUAGCCGACCUGAGAGGGUGAUCGGCCACACUGGGACGGAGGCACGGCCCAGACUGCUACGGGAGGCAGAAGUAGGGAAUCUUCCACAAUGGACGAAAGUCUGAUGGAGCAACGCCGCGUGAGCGAUGAAGGCCUUCGGGUCGUAAAGCUCUGCUGUUAGGGAAGAACAAGUACCGGAGUAACUGCCGGUACCUUGACGGUACCUAACCAGAAGGCCACGGCUAACUACGUGCCAGCCGCCGCGGUAA